Molecule: ribosomal RNA, 451 nt
Filed under: uncultured Bacteroidales bacterium
Lineage: Bacteria; Pseudomonadati; Bacteroidota; Bacteroidia; Bacteroidales
Description: bacterial SSU rRNA
Rfam family: Bacterial small subunit ribosomal RNA
Source: RNAcentral
AGUCAACGAUGGAUAGGGGUUCUGAGAGGAAGGUCCCCCACAUUGGAACUGAGACACGGUCCAAACUCCUACGGGAGGCAGCAGUGAGGAAUAUUGGUCAAUGGGCGAUGGCCUGAACCAGCCAAGUAGCGUGAAGGAUGACUGCCCUAUGGGUUGUAAACUUCUUUUAUAAAGGAAUAAAGUCGGGUAUGCAUACCCGUUUGCAUGUACUUUAUGAAUAAGGAUCGGCUAACUCCGUGCCAGCAGCCGCGGUAAUACGGAGGAUCCGAGCGUUAUCCGGAUUUAUUGGGUUUAAAGGGAGCGUAGAUGGAUGUUUAAGUCAGUUGUGAAAGUUUGCGGCUCAACCGUAAAAUUGCAGUUGAUACUGGAUGUCUUGAGUGCAGUUGAGGCAGGCGGAAUUCGUGGUGUAGCGGUGAAAUGCUUAGAUAUCACGAAGAACUCCGAUUGCGAA